GACGAACGCUGGCGGUGUGCUUAACACAUGCAAGUCGAACGAUGAAGCCGGAGCUUGCUCUGGUGAAUUAGUGGCGAACGGGUGAGUAACACGUGAGUAACCUGCCCUUGACUCUGGGAUAACUGCUAGAAAUGGUAGCUAAUACCGGAUACGACCCUCGGAGGCAUCUCCAGUGGGUGGAAAGAAUUUCGGUCAAGGAUGGACUCGCGGCCUAUCAGCUAGUUGGUGAGGUAACGGCUCACCAAGGCGACGACGGGUAGCCGGCCUGAGAGGGUGACCGGCAACACUGGGACUGAGACACGGCCCAGACUCCUACGGGAGGCAGCAGUGGGGAAUAUUGCACAAUGGGCGCAAGCCUGAUGCAGCAAAGCCGCGUGAGGGAUGACGGCCUUCGGGUUGUAAACCUCUUUUAGUAGGGAAGAAGCGAAAGUGACGGUACCUGCAGAAAAAGCACCGGCUAACUACGUGCCAGCAGCCGCCGUAA
RNAcentral lists this ribosomal RNA (484 nucleotides) under uncultured bacterium. RNAcentral's name for it is "partial 16S ribosomal RNA". It matches the Rfam family "Bacterial small subunit ribosomal RNA", at positions 28 to 523 of the family's 1533-position model. The record is from RNAcentral.